Molecule: ribosomal RNA, 506 nt
Filed under: uncultured bacterium
Lineage: Bacteria
Description: partial 16S ribosomal RNA
Rfam family: Bacterial small subunit ribosomal RNA
Source: RNAcentral
AGUGAACGCUGGCGGUAGGCCUAACACAUGCAAGUCGAACGGCAGCACAGGAGAGCUUGCUCUCUGGGUGGCGAGUGGCGGACGGGUGAGGAAUACAUCGGAAUCUACUCUGUCGUGGGGGAUAACGUAGGGAAACUUACGCUAAUACCGCAUACGACCUACGGGUGAAAGCAGGGGACCUUCGGGCCUUGCGCGAUUGAAUGAGCCGAUGUCGGAUUAGCUAGUUGGCGGGGUAAAGGCCCACCAAGGCGACGAUCCGUAGCUGGUCUGAGAGGAUGAUCCGCCACACUGGAACUGAGACACGGCCCAGACUCCUACGGGAGGUAGCAGUGGGGAAUAUUGGACAAUGGGCGCAAGCCUGAUCCAGCCAUACCGCGUGGGUGAAGAAGGCCUUCGGGUUGUAAAGCCCUUUUGUUGGGAAAGAAAUCCAGCUGGCUAAUACCCGGUUGGGAUGACGGUACCCAAAGAAUAAGCACCGGCUAACUUCGUGCCAGCCGCCGCAGUAA